Molecule: long non-coding RNA, 1475 nt
Filed under: Pomacea canaliculata
Lineage: Eukaryota; Metazoa; Mollusca; Gastropoda; Architaenioglossa; Ampullariidae
Description: uncharacterized LOC112560018
Source: RNAcentral
GCCGUUGGCUUCUGCCUGCUGGCGGCAGCCUGUCUCGUGGUGACCAACCUGAGAAGCGACUUAGAACUCUUCCUUCUGCUGCGCCGCCUUUCUGUCUUCCUCCUCGCGGCUUCAGCAACUUCUGUCUUGAUCGGGAUGGCUGUGUUUCUGAAGAAGUCUUCAGGUCUCGCUCGCUACCCGCUGCGCAGCACCUUUGUUGGUCGUCUGGAGUGGCCCAUCGCAUUCUCCAUCGUGUCGGCCUGUCUGACGGUCUUCGUGGCCGUCAUCAUCGGCGACAAGCUUCGCCGGCAACACCAGGAGGACCUCACUGUCCGCCCAGUGCCGUAGUGGUGUCAACCUCGCAUGCAACACAUUCUCAAACAACGAUGGGAUCAUUCUGCCAUGGAUUGUUUGUGCUUGAGCAUCAACAGCCUCUUCAAGACAUAUGAUGACUAAAAGCGUGAGCUCGGCUGCGAGCUUUUGUGCCGAAAUCUCAAACUAUCUUGUACAGUCAAUGAUGACAAGUGUCACAAAUGUUGUCCGUUUAUGAUAGAUAAGAACUCCGUCUCUGAAGUGCAUUCACAGAGCUGGUGUACGAGAAGAGACUUGUGAAGUUGCCGACGAUUUUGUUUUUGGUUAUAUUUGCUUCUAAGGAAAUCAGUAAUUACUCUUUACCGUCGUUCAUUGCUGUAUCAUGUCACAUAUCUAAUUCGUCAAAACAAUAACAAAUGAUCAUGUCAUUAAGUUGUUACUGUUGUGACAUUUCAUGUCACUAAUUCUGCCUGGAUUUGGAUUUGGCAUGUUAAUCAGACUUUAACCAGGAUUCCUGCUCAUAGCACCGAUAUAACUCCUAUACUAUCGACCUGCUUUGUAUGUACUACCGACAUAUUAAGAGCGUUUAGCCGAAUUAACCCCUGUAACCUGAUAUUAACCUGAUAUUAACCUGAUAUUAACCUGAUAGUCUGUGUCGUCAUCAUCUUUAUUUUUAACGCUGUUGCUGCUUACCUACAAUUCUUCUGGGUUUUUUUUUAAGUACUGCUCUUUUCGCGUUUCGUUUCUGAAUGCUUCUGUAUAUUUUACAUCAAGUAACAAAAUUCAUACAAGCCACACGAAUCUGAUUUUGAUAGGAAAUUGAAUGAUUUCGUGUCCAGUUUGGAGCUUUCUCCGCCUAAAGAGACUUUUCGCAGUUCUUUCUAGUUUUAUCAAGUGGAUUUGCACCCUCAUGAGCUCAUUAGUGCAAGCACUUGCACUGGGCGCUCUCUGUUUCACACACACACACGUAUUACACACGCACGCACAAACACACACACAGCAGAAGAUAGAGAGAGAGAGAGGUUCAUGAAAAACACAAGAUAGAAGAAGGGAGAAAAAUGGAUUGGUGAGUGAAUGUACAAGAAAUUGUCAGAAAAUGGCGAACUUGCUUAUGACCCACUACCUACUGUUUUCAUUAUGCUUGCAAAAGUUUUGAAAUAAACAUUUCAUAUUUUCUACCUUCA